Molecule: non-coding RNA, 328 nt
Organism: Mesotoga prima MesG1.Ag.4.2
Lineage: Bacteria; Thermotogati; Thermotogota; Thermotogae; Kosmotogales; Kosmotogaceae
Rfam family: Bacterial RNase P class A
About the family: Ribonuclease P (RNase P) is a ubiquitous endoribonuclease, found in archaea, bacteria and eukarya as well as chloroplasts and mitochondria.
Source: Rfam
GAAGCGAAAAGAGUGACCGCGGAAAAUCCGAGGAAAGUCCGGACUCCAUGGGCAGGGGCGCUGGGUAACACCCAGGGAGAGUGAUCUCCGGAAAGGGCCAUAGAAAAUUAGACCGCCUUCGGGCAAGGAUGGAAAGGUGAGGUAAGAGCUCACCGGCUGUCGGGUGACCGGCAGGUCAGGUAACCCCCGUCUGGAGCAAGUCCAAGCAGAAAGGGUCUGAGGAUGCCCACCGAUUCCCUUUCGGGUAGGAUGCUUGAGGGUCAUGGUAACAUAACUCCGAGAUAGAUGGUCACGAGAACAGGAUCCGGCUUACGUUUUCGCUUCCCGG